GAAAACAGGAAGCAAGAUAUCUGUGAACAUGCUUUGAUCUACUAACAUUGAUGAUGAUGAUUAUGACUGCUAGAGUAAUUCUAGCCCCAGUCAUAGGCUACUGAGAAGUAAGUCAGCAAACAAUAAAGAACUACUGGAUCUGAUAGAGAAUCAGCAAUCAUCAAGAGACUUUGCACAUUGAGCUAGAUGCAUAACUGGACAAGUUUCCUUGAAACUAUCUGUGGCCAUGUGAUUAAGUUCCAGGGACUUCCCUAAUCCUACUGAAGCAGUGAUAUUACAAGAAAUCGGAGCUGUUUGGGAAGCCCAUCCUUCUAGCCCCUCAAAAAAUUCCAGUCAAUCCCCAGAAACCUAGAUGUUAAAAGCAAGACAUAGCAUGCCAAGGAGGCAGGAAUCUCAGAGUUCCAACUGGUGAAGCUGCCAGGUCCAAGAGAGAAGUUCGACAGGUAGUAGAGGGCUGUGGGAAGAGCACUGAACUUGGAAUCAAGACACUUCAGUCCAGUCUCAUCUUCCACCUUCUGGUUAAACAGAAGCAAAUCUCCCAGCACCCUGAGGAUCACCAUCCCUCUACCAAAACAUGAGUAUUAAACUACAUGAACUCUAAUGUACUUUUCCUUUAUUUUCAGAGGGAAAAUAUGUUUUAUUAAACAUAU
Lutra lutra (Eurasian river otter) is the source of this 650-nucleotide long non-coding RNA. RefSeq lists it as uncharacterized. The transcript is spliced from 5 exons. Lineage: Eukaryota; Metazoa; Chordata; Mammalia; Carnivora; Mustelidae. The record is from RefSeq and is a predicted model, not a curated record.